GUACUCGAGUGGCGAACGGGUGAGUAACACGUGGGUGAUCUGCCCUGCACUUCGGGAUAAGCCUGGGAAACUGGGUCUAAUACCGGAUAGUACCAUCGUUUAGUGUCGGUGGUGGAAAGUUUUCGGUGCAGGAUGAGCCCGCGGCCUAUCAGCUUGUUGGUGGGGUAAUGGCCUACCAAGGCGUCGACGGGUAGCCGGCCUGAGAGGGUGGACGGCCACAUUGGGACUGAGACACGGCCCAG
This 242-nucleotide ribosomal RNA is filed under the name uncultured bacterium. RNAcentral describes it as "partial 16S ribosomal RNA". It matches the Rfam family "Bacterial small subunit ribosomal RNA", at positions 87 to 334 of the family's 1533-position model. The record is from RNAcentral.